UACAGAGGGGGCAAGCGUUGUUCGGAAUUACUGGGCGUAAAGGGCGCGUAGGCGGCCUUCUAAGUCGAACGUGAAAUCCCCGGGCUCAACCCGGGAACUGCGUCCGAUACUGGAAGGCUUGAAUCCGGGAGAGGGAUGCGGAAUUCCAGGUGUAGCGGUGAAAUGCGUAGAUAUCAGGAGGAACACCGAUAGCGAAGGCAGCUCGCUGGGACGGUAUUGACGCUAAGGCGCGAAAGCGUGGGGAGCAAACAGG
Molecule: ribosomal RNA, 253 nt
Filed under: uncultured bacterium
Lineage: Bacteria
Description: partial 16S ribosomal RNA
Rfam family: Bacterial small subunit ribosomal RNA
Source: RNAcentral